Cyprinus carpio (common carp) is the source of this 1243-nucleotide long non-coding RNA. Lineage: Eukaryota; Metazoa; Chordata; Actinopteri; Cypriniformes; Cyprinidae. The record is from Ensembl.
CCCAUCCAUUCACAUUCAUUAGACUCUAUCUCCACCCCAUGAAGCGCUCUUAGCUUGUAAAAAUACUAUAUUUGCGGGUGUUCUCAGUGAGAUGAUAGGUAAGCGAGCACGUCUGUGGCCAUCUGAAGAGUUUGGAAUUGAUUCAUUUGGAUUUGGCUGUGGAACUGAUUGGUUUAUAGGUUUGGAUGACUGGGUUUGGAUUGGCACUUAUGGUCAGAACCAUAAACUGUUACUGGGGCAUGUAUGACAAGGACUUCCAUUAGGAUUACGUAUUUGUGGGGCCUUUAUCGCCUAUGCAGACAUCAAGGCAUGCAUCCGGGCGAUCUGGUUAAAAGAUGAAAUGCAUCUAUUCCCCUUUUUUAGAAAUGAGUUUCAGUAAACUCCCAUCAUGCAGUGCUUCUAUAUGGAGACAUAAAUAUGGGAGGAUAAGGAAAAAGAGAAGAAACAGGAUUGGAACACAAUGUGUUGGAACUGAUCCUGAAUCUCCCAUCUGAGUACAUGUCUUGGACACAUGAAAUAACCACUAGGCCACUCCUCCAGCUGGUGAGUUUGACUUUUCAGAUGGUGGAUCAAAUCUUUGUGUAUUUGUGCACACAAAUAAUCAUUUGCAGUUUUACAUUGACCUGAUGAUGUUGGGUUUGAACGGACUGUCUGGCUGUAUGGUCUGUGUUCGCUGGACUCUGGUUCAGUGAUUGGAAUGAUAAGUGCACAGCAUGCAGAGUCAGGCCUGUCAGAUGUUGCUGGAAUAGUCAUCAGUGUUGAAUGAUAAAACCCCAGCACACUCUCACUGUGUAGAAGAGACAUCCUUCUAACCUUACUUUAUACAUUCUUCAGUAUAAAAUAUUGUGUUUAUAACUUACACGCCUAUCUUUGUGUGUGUGUGUGUGUGUGUGUGUGUGUGUGUGUGUGUGUGUGCGGGCAUGCGUGCGUGCGUGCGUGUGUGUGUGUGUGUGUGUGUGUGUGUGUGUGUGUGAUUUGUGUUAAAUGAGAAGGGAGUUUAACAUAAUAUUAUAAUUGGUGUUUCUUUGAAAUCAUUUACUUACGUAUUUAUUUAUAAUUUACCAGUUAGCAAAUUAUUCUUGAUUCUUCUAUACCUCUUAUUGUGUGUUAAUGUGCACCUUACAUGUUAAAUCAAGUAUUUCAGUAUUCCUUUUAUUUCACAUCCUGCCCAUAAGGAAGUGAAAUUCCUCAGUCAUUCAGAGCAUUUAAUAAACUCUUCUGCAGAUGUUUGAUUAUGAUUCCU